This 458-nucleotide ribosomal RNA is filed under the name uncultured bacterium. RNAcentral describes it as "partial 16S ribosomal RNA". It matches the Rfam family "Bacterial small subunit ribosomal RNA", at positions 338 to 795 of the family's 1533-position model. The record is from RNAcentral.
CCUACGGGAGGCAGCAGUGAGGAAUAUUGGUCAAUGGGCGAGAGCCUGAACCAGCCAAGUCGCGUGAGGGAGUACUGCCCUAUGGGUUGUAAACCUCUUUUGUCGGGGAGCAAAAGCCGGACGUGUCCGGCUGUGAGAGUACCCGAAGAAAAAGCAUCGGCUCACUCCGUGCCAGCAGCCGCGGUAAUACGGAGGAUGCGAGCGUUAUCCGGAUUUAUUGGGUUUAAAGGGUGCGCAGGCGGAUUUUUAAGUCAGCGGUAAAAUCGUGGGGCUCAACCCCAUCCAGCCGUUGACACUGGGGAUCUAGAGUGUGCGAGAGGUAUGCGGAAUGCGUGGUGUAGCGGUGAAAUGCAUAGAUAUCACGCAGAACCCCGAUUGCGAAGGCAGCAUACCGGUGCACAACUGACGCUCAGGCACGAAAGCGUGGGUAUCGAACAGGAUUAGAUACCCUAGUAGUC